This 253-nucleotide ribosomal RNA is filed under the name uncultured bacterium. RNAcentral's name for it is "partial 16S ribosomal RNA". It matches the Rfam family "Bacterial small subunit ribosomal RNA", at positions 524 to 776 of the family's 1533-position model. The record is from RNAcentral.
UACGUAGGGACCAAGCGUUGUUCGGAUUUAUUGGGCGUAAAGGGCGCGUAGGCGGCGCGGUAAGUCACUUGUGAAAUCUCUGAGCUUAACUCAGAACGGCCAAGUGAUACUGCAGUGCUAGAGUGUGGAAGGGGCAAUCGGAAUUCUUGGUGUAGCGGUGAAAUGCGUAGAUAUCAAGAGGAACACCUGAGGUGAAGACGGGUUGCUGGGCCAACACUGACGCUGAGGCGCGAAAGCCAGGGGAGCAAACGGG